AAUAUAGAAGAUYUAUUCAAGAAUUUUGUGUAAAAUGUCGGCGAGCGGCGGACGGCUGAGUAACGCGUAGGAAUUUGCCCCAAAGUGAGGAAUAACUGCCCGAAAGGGUAGCUAAUGCCGCAUAUGGUCUUCGGAUUAAAGCCUUCGGGCGCUUUGGGAGAAGCCUGCGUUGGAUUAGGUAGUUGGUAGGGUAAUGGCCUACCAAGCCGACGAUCCAUAGCUGGUCUGAGAGGAUGAUCAGCCAGACUGGAACUGAGACACGGUCCAGACUCCUACGGGAGGCAGCAGUGAGGAAUCUUCCACAAUGGGCGAAAGCCUGAUGGAGCAACGCCGCGUGAAGGAUGAAGGCCUUCGGGUUGUAAACUUCUUUUAUGAGUGAAGAAUAUGACGGUAACUCAUGAAUAAGCACCGGCUAACUACGUGCCAGCAGCCGCGGUCAUACGUAGGGUGCAAGCAUUAUCCGGAGUGACUGGGCGUAAAGAGUUGCGUAGGCGGUUUAAUAAGUGAAUAGUGAAACCUGGUGGCUCAACCAUACAGACUAUUAUUCAAACUGUUAAGCUCGAGAAUGGU
Molecule: ribosomal RNA, 570 nt
Filed under: uncultured bacterium
Lineage: Bacteria
Description: bacterial SSU rRNA
Rfam family: Bacterial small subunit ribosomal RNA
Source: RNAcentral